UUUCCACUCCAUAGCCCCUGCCUUAUUGGGUUUCUCAUGUCUCAUCUCAUUUCCAGUUUCUUGUGCCUCCUGGACUUGCCUUCCAAGAAGUCUACUGCCCCGAAGUCCUUUUGUCAGGAUCUGCUUUGUGGGGUGGGCUCUGUUUACCAGAUAAAGACCCUGAAAGCCCUUGAGCCCAAACAGUGGGGGAAGUCAGAAAAGACUGGACCCAGAGGAUGGUGCCUUCUAGACAGGCAGCGAUGGGAUCCUCUAGUCAAACAAACGUCUUCAGCAGAUUUUUUUCUUUCACCAAAUUCUGAGUCAAGACACGAUGUGUUCGUAUUUAAUGAGWGGAAAGUUGUCCAUGCGGUCAAUUGAAACCGUCUUCAUCACCCUCACGAAGUCGCACCUAUAUGAAAGUGUUCUAGGAAGCUCAAGGGCGUGGAUUUAGAUCAAUGAAGACUUUCUUGCAUGUGUUCUUAGCUCCAGUUGAGACUGAAAGUAAUGUUUACAUGUAUCUUUUAUUCCUGGGAGUAUAACAUUGUGCUAAUAAUAACUAUAAGAAAGCAAGCAAACUGUACAUUCUAAAUUUAUCCCCCCUAUGCUUUAAGUGAGGAGAGGAAAAAUCAUGAAUAAUAAAUAUGGAGAUAAGAGAAUGAAACUGGGAAAU
RNAcentral lists this long non-coding RNA (649 nucleotides) under Urocitellus parryii (Arctic ground squirrel). RNAcentral's name for it is "lncRNA (ENSUPAG00010020730.1)". Lineage: Eukaryota; Metazoa; Chordata; Mammalia; Rodentia; Sciuridae. The record is from RNAcentral.